GCAGGACAUACGGUCGCGGCAUGGGAAACCAUGACGAGGAAAGUCCGGGCUCCGCAGGGCAGGGUGCCGGAUAACGUCCGGCGGGGGAAACCCUCGGGAAAGCGCAACAGAAAAGAACCGCCCCGCCGGUACAAAAGACCGGCGGGGUAAGGGUGAAAAGGCAGUGUAAGAGACUACCGCCUCACUGGUAACAGGGAGGGCAUAUGCAAGCCCCACCCGGAGCAAGGUUAAAACGGAGCGAUACGGCUGCCCGCCGUGCUCCAGGUAAACCGCUUGACCCGUCCGGUAACGGACGGGCUAGACAGAUGACCGUACACGACAGAACCCGGCUUAUCGUUCUGCCU
This 344-nucleotide RNase P RNA is filed under the name bovine gut metagenome. RNAcentral's name for it is "Bacterial RNase P class A". It matches the Rfam family "Bacterial RNase P class A". Rfam says of the family: Ribonuclease P (RNase P) is a ubiquitous endoribonuclease, found in archaea, bacteria and eukarya as well as chloroplasts and mitochondria. Its best characterised activity is the generation of mature 5'-ends of tRNAs by cleaving the 5'-leader elements of precursor-tRNAs. The record is from RNAcentral.